RNAcentral lists this ribosomal RNA (1098 nucleotides) under Capnocytophaga sputigena. Its description in RNAcentral is "bacterial SSU rRNA". It matches the Rfam family "Bacterial small subunit ribosomal RNA", at positions 28 to 1130 of the family's 1533-position model. The record is from RNAcentral. Lineage: Bacteria; Pseudomonadati; Bacteroidota; Flavobacteriia; Flavobacteriales; Flavobacteriaceae.
GAUGAACGCUAGCGGCAGGCCUAACACAUGCAAGUCCGAGGGAGAGGUUACCUUCGGGUAACCAAAACCGGCGCACGGGUGCGUAACGCGUAUACAAUCCUGCCUUUCACAUAGGGAUAGCCCGAAGAAAUUUGGAUUAAUACCUAAUGGUAUAUAGGAGCGGCAUCCGUUUUUAUAUUAAAGCUACGGUGGUGAAAGAUGAGUAUGCGUUAUUAGCUAGUUGGAGAGGUAACGGCUCCCCAAGGCGACGAUAGAUAGGGGUUCCUGAGAGGGAUGUCCCCCACACUGGUACUGAGAUACCGGACCAGACUCCUACGGGAGGCAGCAGUGAGGAAUAUUGGACAAUGGUCGGAAGACUGAUCCAGCCAUGCCGCGUGCAGGAUGAAGGUCCUAUGGAUUGUAAACUGCUUUUGUAAGGGAAGAAUAAGGAGUACGAGUACUUUGAUGACGGUACCUUACGAAUAAGCAUCGGCUAACUCCGUGCCAGCAGCCGCGGUAAUACGGAGGAUGCGAGCGUUAUCCGGAAUCAUUGGGUUUAAAGGGUCCGUAGGCGGGCUGAUAAGUCAGAGGUGAAAGCGCUUAGCUCAACUAAGCAACUGCCUUUGAAACUGUCAGUCUUGAAUGAUUGUGAAGUAGUUGGAAUGUGUAGUGUAGCGGUGAAAUGCUUAGAUAUUACACAGAACACCGAUAGCGAAGGCAUAUUACUAACAAUUUAUUGACGCUGAUGGACGAAAGCGUGGGGAGCGAACAGGAUUAGAUACCCUGGUAGUCCACGCUGUAAACGAUGGAUACUAGCUGUUAUGGAGCAAUCUGAGUGGCUAAGCGAAAGUGAUAAGUAUCCCACCUGGGGAGUACGCACGCAAGUGUGAAACUCAAAGGAAUUGACGGGGGCCCGCACAAGCGGUGGAGCAUGUGGUUUAAUUCGAUGAUACGCGAGGAACCUUACCAACGUUUAAAUGGGGACUGACAGAGGUAGAGAUACCUCCUUCUUCGGACAGUCUUCAAGGUGCUGCAUGAUAGUCGUCAGCUCGUGCCGUGAGGUGUCAGGUUACGUCCUAUAACGAGCGCAUCCCUGCCAUUAGUAGCUACCAAGUCAAG